CGCAAACUGCGCAGACGGUCGGGUGAAGGCGGAGCAAAGGUCCGGAAGAGCCAUCGCGGGAGCCCACCGGCGUUCAGCUGCCGUUGCGCCCGACUCGGCCCAGGCCCGGGGGGUCGCGGCCCCAGGCGUCUCCAUGGUGCUGGCAUCUGAGGCGGGUGUGAAGCAAGGCAGGGCGAGGCCGUUCGGCUGCCUUUGCUUUUGGAAUCACUCAACGAACGUAUUUCAAAGGGGACGAGCAUGCUGUGUCGACUUCACCUCUAUGGUUUUCCGAGGCUUUAGACUGGACAGCUGUCCUGCAAAAGAUUCAGUAAGAAAGGAAGUGCAAGAAAAAAACCCCAUCAAUAUAUUAUCCUUGAACUCCACUGUGAUCCUGGAAAUAGGAGCUCGGUCACUAUCUCCCACUUUGGGGAGGAGUACAGUUGAGUAGCCAUCACAAAUCAGGAUGCCUGUCUCUGCUUGGACCAGGUCAAGACAUCACACUUCACCUACCCCAGCCAGCCUGGGGGAUGCCUUGGAAACUGUGAUCAGGCCUCAUCCCCAUCUUGCCGCAAACCGCAUCUCUGCGAUGCAGAGAAGAUCCCUGAGCGGCAGUGGAACCCAAGCCGCCAGCGGUGAAAGCACCAACUCCUAGCCACUAGGCCACCAGGGAAUCACACAAGGACUCUAAUUUGGCUUCUCCAGGUGAAAAUUCU
This 692-nucleotide long non-coding RNA is filed under the name Equus caballus (horse). RNAcentral's name for it is "lncRNA (ENSECAG00000058415.1)". Lineage: Eukaryota; Metazoa; Chordata; Mammalia; Perissodactyla; Equidae. The record is from RNAcentral.